This is a long non-coding RNA of Carassius auratus (goldfish), 1773 nucleotides long. RefSeq lists it as uncharacterized. The transcript has 5 exons. The record is from RefSeq and is a predicted model, not a curated record. NCBI's taxonomy places the organism in Eukaryota, Metazoa, Chordata, Actinopteri, Cypriniformes, Cyprinidae.
UCUCUCUGUGGUAAAUCGGUGAAAGUAAAUAUCAGACCUAUGCAGGCUACCGACAGUACGUAAAGUGUGCUGUGGUGUCCGAGGAACACAAUUUCUUGAGGUUUACCAAAGUAUUUGAUAUUUACAUAUUUGUCAGCUGUGCGUCAUAGGGCGCUUGUAUCUGUGUAUUACAAGCUGUUUGUCUGAAAUGAAUUCAUUGUUAAGGGAGUUUAAGGGAACUGAUGCAUUUAGUGCUUCGCAUUACACCCACAUAUUUCCAUUUUUAUUAUAAUUAUCAUCAAACGCAUUACCAGCAUUACCAAGGAGUUUGUUUUGAAUAGAAGCACUAUUAAUGCAUUACUGUUGGCAUUGCUCAUACUUUUCAUAAAACUCUGUGAGAAACCCGUCCUGCACUGUUUUUUGGCGCUGAUAUAAAUGAUAUAUUAAGCUCUGAUUUUAACAACAUCAUAUGGCUCCUUUACAUAUUACUUUGAAAAUGAAUGAAUUUAAAAAUAACAAAUUAUUUAUUUAAAUUAUUAACUGAAUACGGUUCAUAGGUAUUAUUUCUUCUUCAUUCUCAUGCUUACAAUGGCUGCAUUUAGUCGUAUUAUAACCAAAAUACAGUUGUGCUGCUAUAUAUUUUUUGAGGAAAUCCUGACCCUUUUUUUCAGCAUUUUUUAUAGCAUUAUAAAUGAAUUUAGAUUCAUUUAAUGCAUGCUUACUAAAAUAAAAGUUUUCAUUUUGUAUUUUUGAAUGGUAGUCUACAGAUCUUGAAAGUCACACUUUAAUUCUCCUCACAACAUUAAAAAUACAGUCAAGAAGAUGUUCUGCACAAAGGAGCCAAAAUGUGAACCAUCAAAGAAUAUGACAUGUUUUCAAAAACAGAUGUGUCAUUCUUGCACAACAGUCUUGCUCUGAUAAACAGCUCGUUUCCUCAAAAACUCAGUGACUCAUUGGUAUUUCUAAGUCUCGCAGACUGUUCACAGCUCAUGUACCAAAACCUCAUUCAUUUUGCUUUAAGUUGAGAGAGUUCGUCUAGAGCUACAGUUGCAUUUACACUUCGCUUACUCUGCAAGUCUGGUGGAUGACUUUAACUCUAGAGGGCAGUGUUAUCUCAUUUAUUGAGAUAACGUCAUAUCUUUAAUUAAUCUUGUUUCUAUAUCUUCUAGCAGAUUAAAUAUGUGCCAGGUGUACAUCAUGAAGAUACUUCAGACUUUCAGAGAGGGACAACAAGAUAUAUUUCGGAGACAUUCCUGCACCUGAGGUCCAAAAAACAUCCUGAACAUCUUGUGUGACCAGAACGACGGUCUGUAAAAUUGAAGACGGAUUGACAAGAAUCUGGAGGAAAUGUACUCCGGUACAGAGCAGAAAAUUAACGCCAAGCAGAGGAGCAGCCAACAAGAAGCAGGUCCAACAACAUGCCUCUCAGCACGAGCGGGAAGUCUAAUUUUCACAUCUGCUCAAUGUUUUUCUCUGCAGGUUUAUGGAUGGUGUAGUUUUUCACCAGAACAUCAUCUUUUACACACCACCUUAGGAGCUUAUGCUGAGUCUGCAUUGUAAGGAUUCUGAUAUUUCAUCCAAAGAAGAGCCUAUGCAAUCACACGGAAACCUGAUCCAGGACUUGCAUGUGCUGGGAUUAACCAAAAAAUAUUUCAUCUCGGCCUUCUUCCCAGGUAACGAUAUGACCACCUGACAGCUUUCCAGCCUCUCACCUCCCCAAACAGCAUUUCGGCAAACAUUCAGAUUUCUUGCUCUCAGGUUCAACACCUAUUGUAAACAGUGUUCUGAGUUGGU